GAGGCAGAGGGUGGACAAGAGUGUUCUAGACAUAGACAACAGCAUGAGCAAAGGCGCUCAAGAACUUAAGGCAGGCUGAUGUGGUCAAGGCCCAGAGAACAAGAGGCCAUGGGCAGAAGGAAUGAGUGAGGUAUCACUGGAACAUGUCAGAUCUGCCAGGCCCUUUGAUGGUUAAUCAUUUUUCUUUCAAUUUUCUUGGGUAAAAUACACAUAAAAUGUAUUCUCUUAGCCAUUUUCAGCAUAUAGGUCAAUGUUAUUAAACACAUUCAUAAUAUUGCACUACCGUCACCACCACUGUGAUAAUUAAUUUUAUGUCAACUUGACUGGGCUACAUGGUUCCCAGAGAGCUGGUUAAACAUCAUUUCUGGAUAUGUCUGUGAGGACGAUUUUGGAAGAGGUUAGCAUUUGAAUUGAUGGACUGAGAAAAGCAGAUGGUCAUCCUAAAGGUGAGUAGGCCUGAUCUGAUCUUUUGAGGGCUUGAAAAGAAAAAGGUGGAGGAGUUGAAUUGAUUCUGCCUGACAGCACGAGCUGGGGCACUGGUACUCUGCCCUUGGUGCUCCCGGUUCUCAGGACUGAGUUGCACCACCAGCCUUCCUGAGCCUCCAGCUUGCAGAAAGCAGAUCACGGGACAUUUUAGCUUGCAUUAUCCUGUGAACCACUACCUGAUCUUAACCCUCUUCCUAGAUAAACAUCCAGCUGAUUCUGUUUCUCGGGAGGAUCCCAACACAGGCCAGAAUAGGCCACGAUAAGCUGGUCAUGACCGCAGCCCUCCUCCUCAUCCAAUCUCCUUCUUCCAGGCUCCCUGCUUCUGCUCUGGCCCUGCUCAGAUCUCUCUUCAGCACAGCUGCCAGAAUGAUUUUACAAAAAAACACAAAUCUGACAAUGUCACUUCCCUGCUGGGAAUAUCUCAAGGCUUCUACUUUGUGAAGACCCAGAUCCUUGACUUCACUAACUGAACGCCCACUUUGUUCAGAAGAGACAGGACCACAAAGAGCUGCUCUCUUCCCAAAGAAGGAAGUUCAGAGGAGCCGCCACCUGUGCAGACAAACCCAAGGCUGCUGCAGGUGCUGGGGCCAACAGAACAGAGGUGGAAAGACCCUGGCUCUCAUGGACGUCACUAAAUCAACCAGGCCUGGAGGCUGCCCUACCCCUGAACUUCCUGUUAUGUAGGACAAUAAAUCAUCUUGUUUAAACUGGU
This is a long non-coding RNA of Marmota flaviventris (yellow-bellied marmot), 1198 nucleotides long. RefSeq lists it as uncharacterized. Lineage: Eukaryota; Metazoa; Chordata; Mammalia; Rodentia; Sciuridae. The record is from RefSeq and is a predicted model, not a curated record.